This 274-nucleotide ribosomal RNA is filed under the name uncultured bacterium. RNAcentral describes it as "partial 16S ribosomal RNA". It matches the Rfam family "Bacterial small subunit ribosomal RNA", at positions 793 to 1055 of the family's 1533-position model. The record is from RNAcentral.
GUCCACGCCGUAAACGAUGGGUACUAGGCAUUGCGGGAUUCGACCCCUGCAGUGCCGGUUAGACGAGCUAACGCGUUAAGUACCCCGCCUGGGGAGUACGGCCGCAAGGCUAAAAACUCAAAAGGAAUUGACGGGAGCCCGCACAAGUGGUGGAGCAUGUGGUUUAAUUCGACGAUAAACGAGAAACCUUACCAGGUCUUGACAUCCCGGGAAAGCCGCCGAAAAGGUGGCCGUGCCGCAAGGAACCCGGAGACAGGUGCUGCAUGGCUGUCGU